Molecule: long non-coding RNA, 1852 nt
Organism: Trifolium pratense (red clover)
Lineage: Eukaryota; Viridiplantae; Streptophyta; Magnoliopsida; Fabales; Fabaceae
Exons: 8
Source: RefSeq, a predicted model, not a curated record
AAAAGAAAUUUAGUGGCGGUCAAAUAGCAACAGUUUGCACCCAAACUGCCGCCGCCUACCCACUACAAAAAAAAAAAGAGGAUUAACGACACAAUGAUAAGGCAGUUUAGAACCGCUGCUGCAUGUUCCUAAGUAAAAUUUUCAUUCUCUCACUUAUAUAUUUUUGUGAUUCCCACAAGAAAGAAAGAACACGAGAAAGCGCUGAAAUCCUUCUUCUCCAAACUGUUGCCGUCUCAAAUCACGAUGUCUUCUCCAAAACCCUUUCAUCUCCAAAUCGUCUUCUGCAAACCAUCGUGAGAGUUCCAACUCGUCAUAUCUCCUGUUCAUCUCCGUCGUGACCGAGUUAGAGACACCGAUUGAUACAAAUCACUUCGAUUUCUACACAUAGUUGCUUCCAAUUUCUUCGAUUUCGCAGCUCAAACCUUCAAUCUCUUUGAUUCGCAGCCCAAUCCUCCAAUCCCUUUGAUUGCCCUAAUCAGAUUACUAUUUGAACUUGCAUUGGAUCUUUAGACCGUUUGAGUACGAACCUUCAUCCUAUGGCUUGAUGUUUUCAGGGUACUUUUUAUUUGUCAUAGUAUCUGUUAAGAACCUGAUAAGAGAGCAUUCAUUAAGAAGGUAAAGAAUAGAAAGGAAAGUAAGGAGGGAAAUAGAGCCAUUGUAACUUAAAUAUAUAUCUAAUUAAUCCCGUCUAACUGACUAACUAAUUCCUCUAAUUGUUCCUAACUGACAUCCACUCUUACUAAACAUUCCUUUCCCUUCUAAACCGUAUCAUAAUCUGGAUGAUUCAUGGCUCAACAGUUCAAUCAUUGUUAAUUUGUUACCCUUAUUAUUCUGAUAAAUAUUGAAUUUAAAGUUUUCAAAACACAAGUAGCUUGCACCUGAGCUUUAUUUAUGCUUCCACAUAAAGUUUGUUGGUGUACCUUAAAUUGAAAGUGCAGGCAUUAGUGAAUAAAUAUUCACAAUUUUGGUAAGCUCAAAUAGAACUAUACCUGCAUUUGUCUAAGAAAGUAUACAAGAUUUUUCGCACGCGAGGAAGGCUGGCCGAUUAUGCAAUUCUUAUUGAACAAAGUGGGUCAAGACUAUUCGACAAGGUUAUCUCUCGAAGCGUUCCUCAAACUUAUGGGGGACUGGAAAAGGAGGUUUUUUCGUUCUUGAUAGCCGGGGAAUGCUGUAUUACUAUCGUAAAUAAUGCAUCAAAUUAUCUGGGUCUAGUAGCCAACAUUUUGGUCAGAGGAAUAGUUUGGAGCUUGGUUCUGGACUUCUAAGUCGACAACGAACUACACUUUACAAAUAGUGCACUAGACCAAAUGGACUGGAUUGAAAAAAUCACAGUUUGUUGAAUGAAGGAUUGUUUCUAAGUGGAUAAGAGGCUUGGAGUUCACCAAUCUAAUGUAGAACUUCUUCCGUGACAUGGUUCAGGGGAAGGCACAUGGUGCUAUAAUGUAGUGAAAGUUUCCUAUCCGUAUUGUUUAUCAUGGUGGUUUAUAUGACGACGAUGUGCACGUACGCGCGGUUGCAAGCAUUAAAGUUUGCUUUGGAAUUGGGGGAUGUUUUUUUAUAGAAUUGGAUCUCAAGGUAUACCAUGAGUAAUUCAAGUGUGAAAUCAGAUGAUCUAUAUAGUUGAUUUUCUAUAUUGCUUUGUUGUCUAAGAGCUUGUUAGUAUCUUGUUUGUUUUGCUACACUUUUUAAUGUAAUAGUUUUAUGUUUAGUGUGUUAACUCAAAGCAAUUUUGAUGUAAACUUGUAAGUAUCAUUUUCUACAUGAAUUGUGAGAAUCAAUUACUUGAUAUGUUUAGUAAAAUAAUGUAUGGGGAUGUUGUGUGUUUUAGAUUUUGUUAUAUUAAUAUUAAUGG